UACAGAGACUGCAAGCGUUAUUCGGAUUCACUGGGCGUAAAGGGUGCGCAGGCGGUCGGGUGUGUCAGAUGUGAAAUCCCGAGGCUCAACCUCGGAACUGCGUCUGAAACUACUCGACUAGAGUACUGGAGAGGGUAACGGAAUUCACGGUGUAGCAGUGAAAUGCGUAGAUAUCGUGAGGAACACCAGAGGCGAAGGCGGUUACCUGGACAGUUACUGACGCUCAGGCACGAAAGCGUGGGGAGCGAACAGG
Molecule: ribosomal RNA, 253 nt
Filed under: uncultured bacterium
Lineage: Bacteria
Description: partial 16S ribosomal RNA
Rfam family: Bacterial small subunit ribosomal RNA
Source: RNAcentral